CCUACGGGUGGCUGCAGUGGGGAAUAUUGGACAAUGGGCGAAAGCCUGAUCCAGCCAUGCCGCGUGUGUGAAGAAGGCCUUCGGGUUGUAAAGCACUUUCAGUGGGGAAGAAAGCCUUGGGGCUAAUACCCUCGAGGAAGGACAUCACCCACAGAAGAAGCACCGGCUAACUCCGUGCCAGCAGCCGCGGUAAUACGGAGGGUGCGAGCGUUAAUCGGAAUUACUGGGCGUAAAGCGCGCGUAGGCGGUCUGAUAAGCCGGUUGUGAAAGCCCCGGGCUCAACCUGGGAACGGCAUCCGGAGCUGUCAGGCUAGAGUGCAGGAGAGGAAGGUAGAAUUCCCGGUGUAGCGGUGAAAUGCGUAGAGAUCGGGAGGAAUACCAGUGGCGAAGGCGGCCUUCUGGACUGACACUGACGCUGAGGUGCGAAAGCGUGGGUAGCAAACAGGAUUAGAUACCCCAGUAGUC
Molecule: ribosomal RNA, 465 nt
Filed under: Vreelandella stevensii
Lineage: Bacteria; Pseudomonadati; Pseudomonadota; Gammaproteobacteria; Oceanospirillales; Halomonadaceae
Description: partial 16S ribosomal RNA
Rfam family: Bacterial small subunit ribosomal RNA
Source: RNAcentral